RNAcentral lists this ribosomal RNA (1300 nucleotides) under metagenome. Its description in RNAcentral is "bacterial LSU rRNA". It matches the Rfam family "Bacterial large subunit ribosomal RNA", at positions 1591 to 2912 of the family's 2925-position model. The record is from RNAcentral.
AGAAUGUAAGCAGACUUCCGAGAAAAUCUUCUAAGCAUAUUGAUACGGUACCCGUACCGCAAACCGACACAGGUAGUCAAGGAGAGAAUCCUGAGGUGCUCGAGUGAGUCAUGGCUAAGGAACUAGGCAAAUUAAACCUGUAACUUCGGGAAAAGGGUUGCCUCUCUUUAGCAAUAAAGAAGGUCGCAGAGAAAUGGCCCAGGCGACUGUUUAACAAAAACACAUGGCUAUGCGAAAUCGUAAGAUGAAGUAUAUGGCCUGACACCUGCCCGGUGCUGGAAGGUUAAGGGGGGAAGUUAGUCGCAAGGCGAAGCUUUGAACUGAAGCCCCAGUAAACGGCGGUCGUAACUAUAACGGUCCUAAGGUAGCGAAAUUCCUUGUCGGGUAAGUUCCGACCUGCACGAAUGGUGUAACGAUCUGGGCACUGUCUCAGCCAUGAGCUCGGUGAAAUUGUAGUCACGGUGAAGAUGCCGUGUACCCGUCACGGGACGGAAAGACCCCAUGCACCUUUACUAUAGCUUCGCAUUGACAUUGGGUAGAUGAUGUGUAGGAUAGGUGGGAGGCGUUGAUCCUGUGCCGCUAGGUAUAGGGGAGCCAACGGUGAAAUACCACCCUUUAUUUAUCUGAUGUCUAAUCCGCAAGACCUGCGGAGACAGUGCGUGGUGGGUAGUUUGACUGGGGUGGUCGCCUCCGAAAGUGUAUCGGAGGCUUUCAAAGGUAUGCUCAAUACGCUUGGUAACCGUAUGUGGAGUGCAAUAGCAUAAGCAUGCUUGACUGUGAGACUGACAAGUCGAGCAGGGUCGAAAGACGGAUAUAGUGAUCCGGUGGUUCUGUAUGGAAGGGCCAUCGCUCAAAGGAUAAAAGGUACGCUGGGAUAACAGGCUGAUCUCCCCCAAGAGCUCACAUCGACGGGGAGGUUUGGCACCUCGAUGUCGGCUCGUCACAUCCUGGGGCUGGAGAAGGUCCCAAGGGUUAGGCUGUUCGCCUAUUAAAGUGGCACGCGAGCUGGGUCCAGAACGUCGUGAGACAGUUCGGUCCCUAUCUGUGAUGGGCGUAGGAAGUUUGAGAGGAUCUGACCUUAGUACGAGAGGACCGGGUUGGACCAACCGCUGGUGUAUCGGUUGUGGCGUCAGCUGCAUCGCCGGGUAGCUACGUUGGGACGAGAUAAGCGCUGAAAGCAUCUAAGCGCGAAACUCACCUCAAGAUGAGACUUCCAUUAAGGGACGUCAGAGACUAUGACGUUGAUAGGCUGCAGGUGUAAAGGCAGAAAUGUCAAAGCUGAGCAGUACUAAUUACCCAA